ACACCUCAACUCUCAUGGUUUACCAUGAUGAGCUUGGACUUUGGAGGUCUUGCUGGCUGGUGGCCAGCUCCUCUCAAAUGAAUCAGCUUGCCAGUGUUUGGUGGCAUCAUGGGUGUGAUAACUAUCUACGCUCGCUGUUGUCUGCCAGGUAACCUUUGGUGACGAAGGUUCGCUGGAGCUCACAGAUGUCUCUCCUCAGCGAGGACAGCUUUUUGAAC
RNAcentral lists this unclassified non-coding RNA (218 nucleotides) under uncultured Thelephora. RNAcentral describes it as "sequence contains ITS2". Lineage: Eukaryota; Fungi; Basidiomycota; Agaricomycetes; Thelephorales; Thelephoraceae. The record is from RNAcentral.